GACGUAGGGCGCGAGCGUUGUCCGGAUUUAUUGGGCGUAAAGAGCUCGUAGGCGGUUCGUCGCGUCGGCUGUGAAAUCCCGGAGCUCAACUCCGGGUCUGCAGUCGAUACGGGCGGACUUGAGUACUGCAGGGGAGACUGGAAUUCCUGGUGUAGCGGUGAAAUGCGCAGAUAUCAGGAGGAACACCGGUGGCGAAGGCGGGUCUCUGGGCAGUAACUGACGCUGAGGAGCGAAAGCGUGGGGAGCGAACAGG
This 253-nucleotide ribosomal RNA is filed under the name uncultured bacterium. RNAcentral's name for it is "partial 16S ribosomal RNA". It matches the Rfam family "Bacterial small subunit ribosomal RNA", at positions 524 to 776 of the family's 1533-position model. The record is from RNAcentral.